CAGCCACAUCCCCCCUACUCUACUCACUCUUAUGAACUGUGGAACCCCUUCUAACAACAUCUACAGCAUCGGUUGUCUAGCUACCAGCUUUUCACCUUCCUCACUCACAUUCAAGUGGACAGACGCCAGCGGCAGUGUGCUGACGGACUUCAUCCAGUACCCAUCGGUUCAGAGUGGGGAGCCUACACAGGAGUCAGUCAGCUCCGCUUGUCUAAGGAUGACUGGGGAAACUCAAAGUCUUUCAGCUGUUCUGUGGAACAUCUUGGAAUUGAAAAGAAAGCAGUCAUCAUUAAACCAGUCUCAAAGCUUCCAACAGUGUCUUUGCUGUCGGCACCCAUUGGCACCACUCAGUACCUGAUGUGUAUGAUUGAAGAUUUCGCACCCAAUAAAGUCACUGUCACCUGGAAGAAGAAUGACAUGGAGGUGGAGGGCCCGACCCCUACUGUAGGCCAACAGCCAUCAGGCCUCUACUCAGCCAGCAGUCUGCUGAAGGUCAACAACACUGACUGGAACAACAAGGUCAGGUACAGCUGUGUGGUGGAGCACCAGGGACAACCCACCAUCAAGACGAUCUCCAAAACAGAACCACUUACGGUGACUCUGAACCCACCGCGUGUGAGAGAGGUGUUCUUGGACAACCAAGCGGUGCUGGACUGUGUCAUCACUGCUACAGACCAGGACACAGUGUCUGGUACCAACAUCACCUGGCAGGUCAACGGACAGGCCAAGACGAGAGGCAUCAUUAUGAAACCCAUUGAAUCAAACGGCAACCUGAACAGCAGGGUCAGUACUCUGACCAUAGACCAGACAGAGUGGACCAACGUGAACAAAGUCCAGUGUUCUGCCAUGAAGAGUGGUGAAGACACAUCGGUCAUUCAGGACAUCAGCUUCACCAAAGGAAGUGAACAGGAGCCAGUACAGGAGGGGGUCACCAGCCCUCCUCAGAAAACCAAGAAAGGCAACUACUUCGUCACCAGCGUCUUCACCACCACCAAGGAUAAGUGGGACACAAAUGUGCUUUUCAUGCGCCGUCAAGCACCUCGGCUCGGACAACAAUACCACCCUCAGGGGAGGAGUGUGUCGAAGUCCUUGGGUAACUCAUGUGAAGACAACUGCACGGACAACGAUGAGGAUGAGUUCAGCAGCCUGUGGUCCACCACCUCCUCCUUCAUCAUCCUCUUCCUUCUCUCUCUCAUCUACAGCACAGUGCUCAGCCUGGUCAGGGUACAUACAUCACUUAUUAUAUGUGAUUGUAGACUUCUGAUGAAGGCCAUUGGCAGCUCAAAUGUUAUGAUUGUAAAUAAAAUAAAAUAUGUAUCAAGUGUUUAAUUGGACACAAGCAUU
Oncorhynchus masou masou (cherry salmon) is the source of this 1344-nucleotide non-coding RNA. Lineage: Eukaryota; Metazoa; Chordata; Actinopteri; Salmoniformes; Salmonidae. The record is from the annotation of a RefSeq genome assembly.